Molecule: non-coding RNA, 145 nt
Organism: Caenorhabditis elegans
Lineage: Eukaryota; Metazoa; Nematoda; Chromadorea; Rhabditida; Rhabditidae
Source: Ensembl
AAAAAAAGAUCUGCUCAAACCGUCCUGGUACCCGGAGAGCCCAGGUGUGAAGCAUCAAUAGUACACUCACACUUGAGGUCUCAGGGAACAGGCCGGAAGCAUAAACUCAUAAACCAACCAAAACUCUAGAAAUUGUCUAGAAUCU